GCUUUGAUAGCUCAGUCGGUAGAGCGUAGGUCUCAUAAUCCUAAGGUCGUGCGUUCGACUCGCGCUCAAAGCA
Molecule: transfer RNA, 73 nt
Organism: Tritrichomonas foetus
Lineage: Eukaryota; Parabasalia; Tritrichomonadida; Tritrichomonadidae
Rfam family: tRNA
About the family: Transfer RNA (tRNA) molecules are approximately 80 nucleotides in length. Their secondary structure includes four short double-helical elements and three loops (D, anti-codon, and T loops). Further hydrogen bonds mediate the characteristic L-shaped molecular structure. tRNAs have two regions of fundamental functional importance: the anti-codon, which is responsible for specific mRNA codon recognition, and the 3' end, to which the tRNAs corresponding amino acid is attached (by aminoacyl-tRNA synthetases). tRNAs cope with the degeneracy of the genetic code in two manners: having more than one tRNA (with a specific anti-codon) for a particular amino acid; and 'wobble' base-pairing, i.e. permitting non-standard base-pairing at the 3rd anti-codon position.
Source: Rfam